RNAcentral lists this ribosomal RNA (492 nucleotides) under uncultured bacterium. RNAcentral describes it as "partial 16S ribosomal RNA". It matches the Rfam family "Bacterial small subunit ribosomal RNA", at positions 29 to 507 of the family's 1533-position model. The record is from RNAcentral.
AGUGAGCGCUGGCGGUAGGCCUAACACAUGCAAGUCGAACGGCAGCACAGUAAGAGCUUGCUCUUACGGGUGGCGAGUGGCGGACGGGUGAGGAAUACAUCGGAAUCUACUUUUUCGUGGGGGAUAACGUAGGGAAACUUACGCUAAUACCGCAUACGACCUACGGGUGAAAGCAGGGGAUCUUCGGACCUUGCGCGAUUGAAUGAGCCGAUGUCGGAUUAGCUAGUUGGCGGGGUAAAGGCCCACCAAGGCGACGAUCCGUAGCUGGUCUGAGAGGAUGAUCAGCCACACUGGAACUGAGACACGGUCCAGACUCCUACGGGAGGCAGCAGUGGGGAAUAUUGGACAAUGGGCGCAAGCCUGAUCCAGCCAUACCGCGUGGGUGAAGAAGGCCUUCGGGUUGUAAAGCCCUUUUGUUGGGAAAGAAAAGCAGCAGGUUAAUACCCCACUGUUCUGACGGUACCCAAAGAAUAAGCACCGGCUAACUUCGUG